RNAcentral lists this ribosomal RNA (428 nucleotides) under uncultured bacterium. RNAcentral's name for it is "bacterial SSU rRNA". It matches the Rfam family "Bacterial small subunit ribosomal RNA", at positions 354 to 796 of the family's 1533-position model. The record is from RNAcentral.
GUGGGGAAUAUUGGGCAAUGGAGGCAACUCUGACCCAGCAACGCCGCGUGAAUGAUGAAGGUCUUCGGAUUGUAAAGUUCUGUGACGGGGGACGAACACAAUGACGGUACCCCGAUAGCAAGCCACGGCUAACUACGUGCCAGCAGCCGCGGUAAUACGUAGGUGGCAAGCGUUAUCCGGAAUGACUGGGCGUAAAGGGUGCGUAGGUGGCCUAGCAAGUUGGUAGCGUAAUUCCGGGGCUCAACUCCGGCGCUACUACCAAAACUGUUGGGCUUGAGUGCAGGAGGGGUAAGUGGAAUUCCUAGUGUAGCGGUGGAAUGCGUAGAUAUUAGGAGGAACAUCGGUGGCGAAGGCGACUUACUGGACUGUAACUGACACUGAGGCACGAAAGCGUGGGGAGCAAACAGGAUUAGAAACCCUAGUAGUCC